UGCCAGCAGCCGCGGUAAUACGGAGGGUGCAAGCGUUACUCGGAUUUACUGGGCGUAAAGAGCAUGUAGGCCGUUUGAUAAGUCUGAUGUGAAAGCCCACGACUAAAUCGUGGAAGUGCAUUGGAUACUGUCAGACUAGAGUACAGGAGGGGUGAGCGGAAUUCCAGGUGUAGAGGUGAAAUUCGUAGAUAUCUGGAGGAACAACGGAGGCGAAGGCGGCUCACUGGACUGUUACUGACGCUGAGAUGCGAAAGCGUGGGGAGCAAACGGGAUUAGAUA
RNAcentral lists this ribosomal RNA (279 nucleotides) under uncultured bacterium. RNAcentral describes it as "partial 16S ribosomal RNA". It matches the Rfam family "Bacterial small subunit ribosomal RNA", at positions 506 to 784 of the family's 1533-position model. The record is from RNAcentral.